GUCGCAAGACCAAAGUGGGGGACCUUCGGGCCUCAUGCCAUCAGAUGUGCCCAGAUGGGAUUAGCUAGUAGGUGGGGUAACGGCUCACCUAGGCGACGAUCCCUAGCUGGUCUGAGAGGAUGACCAGCCACACUGGAACUGAGACACGGUCCAGACUCCUACGGGAGGCAGCAGUGGGGAAUAUUGCACAAUGGGCGCAAGCCUGAUGCAGCCAUGCCGCGUGUGUGAAGAAGGCCUUCGGGUUGUAAAGCACUUUCAGCGGGGAGGAAGGCGUUAAGGUUAAUAACCUUGGCGAUUGACGUUACCCGCAGAAGAAGCACCGGCUAACUCCGUGCCAGCAGCCGCGGUAAUACGGAGGGGUGCAAGCGUUAAUCGGAAUUACUGGGCGUAAAGCGCACGCAGGCGGUCUGUCAAGUCGGAUGUGAAAUCCCCGGGCUCAACCUGGGAACUGCAUUCGAAACUGGCAGGCUAGAGUCUUGUAGAGGGGGGUAGAAUUCCAGGUGUAGCGGUGAAAUGCGUAGAGAUCUGGAGGAAUACCGGUGGCGAAGGCGGCCCCCUGGACAAAGACUGACGCUCAGGUGCGAAAGCGUGGGGAGCAAACAGGAUUAGAUACCCUGGUAGUCCACGCCGUAAACGAUGUCGAUUUGGAGGUUGUGCCCUUGAGGCGUGGCUUCCGGAGCUAACGCGUUAAAUCGAC
RNAcentral lists this ribosomal RNA (697 nucleotides) under Klebsiella pneumoniae. Its description in RNAcentral is "bacterial SSU rRNA". It matches the Rfam family "Bacterial small subunit ribosomal RNA", at positions 192 to 869 of the family's 1533-position model. Lineage: Bacteria; Pseudomonadati; Pseudomonadota; Gammaproteobacteria; Enterobacterales; Enterobacteriaceae. The record is from RNAcentral.